This 433-nucleotide ribosomal RNA is filed under the name uncultured bacterium. Its description in RNAcentral is "partial 16S ribosomal RNA". It matches the Rfam family "Bacterial small subunit ribosomal RNA", at positions 29 to 507 of the family's 1533-position model. The record is from RNAcentral.
AAUGAACGCUGGCGGCAUGCCUAACACAUGCAAGUCGAACGAGACCCUCGGGUUUAGUGGCGUACGCGUGGGUAACGGGUGGGAACCUGCCCAUAGGUUUGCACUAACGCCCCGAAUGAGGUGCUAAUACGGGAUAUAAUCUCCGGUCCAAUGAUUUAUCGCCAUUGGAUGCGCCCGCGUUGGAUCAGCUAGUUGGUAGGCUAAAAGCCUACCAAGGCGACGAUCCGUAGCUGGCCCGAGAGGAUGAGCAGCCACACUGGGCCUGAGAAACGGCCCAGACUCCUACGGGAGGCAGCAGUGGGGAAUAUUGGACAAUGGGCGAAAGGCUGAACCAGCUAUGCCGGGUGAGUGAUGAAGGCCGUAGGGUUGUAAAGCUCUUUUACCCGGGAUGAUAAUGACAGUACCGGGAGAAUAAGCGCCGGCUAACUCCGUG